UACAGAGGUCUCAAGCGUUGUUCGGAUUCAUUGGGCGUAAAGGGUGUGUAGGUGGCGCCGUAAGUCGGGUGUGAAAUUUCGGAGCUUAACUCCGAAACUGCAUUCGAUACUGCGGUGCUUGAGGACUGGAGAGGAGACUGGAAUUCAUGGUGUAGCAGUGAAAUGCGUAGAGAUCAUGAGGAAGACCAGUGGCGAAGGCGGGUCUCUGGACGGCUAACUGACGCUGAGGCGCGAAGGCCAGGGGAGCAAACGGG
RNAcentral lists this ribosomal RNA (254 nucleotides) under uncultured bacterium. Its description in RNAcentral is "partial 16S ribosomal RNA". It matches the Rfam family "Bacterial small subunit ribosomal RNA", at positions 524 to 776 of the family's 1533-position model. The record is from RNAcentral.